CCACUUCUCUAUCCAGAAAAAAUACAGCAUCUAUUCAGAUGAGUAAGGGUCUGGAAGUGUUCGUGUGUGCGCCGCUUCCCGUUCAAUUUGCAAUGGCUGGAGGUACGCUCGUAAUAUUUUUAAUUUCCGCUGUUUAAUCUAAAUAUGUCAUUUAAAUUGAUUUGCAUAUUUAGAUCAGUAUAUGUAUAUUUUUACAUUUGGUAUCAGAGCAUAUUUGUACCUCUGUCUUCUUGUUGGGUCGUUCCUAUUAUGCGGAGUUUAUUUUCUGAGUACAUGGGUGUUAUAUUUUAAGCCUCCUUAAUUCAAAAUAACAUCAAAAUUAGGAAUGAUAUGAGUUUUCUAAUUUUUCUAUGAUUUAAAACGUAUUUUUGGGUGUCUAAAAUGCAUAUAAUGAUGUGGGUUUUUCGAAAUUGAGGUAAUAAUUUUUUUUACCCACUGCUAGAGGUUACUGUCUUGGAAUUGUUAAUCUACAUUUUAAACUAACAAUUUUAAACAAAGUGUGACUUGAUCCAGUGGUAGAUGUGGUUUAUAUUACCUCUUUGUUGUGGGUUUGAAUCUCAGUGGAAGCUUUUUCUUUCUUGUUUUCGUUUUUAAUUAAUUAAAAGGAACGCGAAAACGUUUUGGGCUGGUUUUGAACCCUUGCCCUGCAAGCAUGAAAGGGCUCCCAUUGCCGCUAAGCUACUGUAUCUAUAACUUUUAAAGGAUAAAUCAUUUAUGCACAAACUGUUUAAAAUUGUGUGUCUCUAAGUUAUGCUGAACAUGCAAUAUUAUGUUAAAUACUGGUAUUAGUUGGAUUUAAUCCUUUAAAGUUUAUUACAUGUUGAAUGAAUAUACGUGCAAUGUUAUUUUGAAUUGGUAUACAUGUAAUUUUUAUGAUUCAAUAUUGAGCACAUUUGCAUUAUUAAGUAUGUUUAUGCAAGGAUUAUUUUUGAAUGUUAAGUGAUUAAUAUAAUUUUAUUAAAUUUUAGAAUAGCCACAACAUCUUUAAUUGAGUAAAAUUAUAUGCUAAAUUUAUAAUCACAUUAGAAAUAUUAAUUGUGAUUAAUCAUAUGUAAUGUGAUGAAAUCUACUCACAAGAAUUUUGUUAUAUUUAUAUGAUUAAUUAAGAUAAAAUAUUAAAUUAUAUUUCUUAAUUUACCCACAGGAAUUAAGGAAAAGAACAUGAUUUAAUAGUUUUAUCAUAAAGUUGCAUGAUGAAUCUAAUUGAGUAGGACUUUAGCCCACAGGCAAGUUUUGUGUCACUAGAUUCAUAUAUUGAGACAUGAUUUGCAUUGGCAAAACAUGACAUUUGUUUAGUCUCAAAUUUUCUUAAUGAGCAUGUGUGUUUGUUUGCAGUUUCACAAUCUAUGAAUAUUUCUUUUGACCUUCCCAUUUUGAAAGGUGAUAAUUAUAAGGUUUGGAAGGAAAGAGUUCUCCUUCAUUUGGGUUGGGUGGAUAUUGACUAUGCUAUAAGGAAGGAUGAGCCACCGGCUAUUACUGAAACUAGUGAACCUGAUGUUGUUGAUCUUUAUGAAAAGUGGGAGAGAUCUAAUCGUCUCUCCGUUAUGUUCAUAAAAACCAACAUAUCCGCUAAUAUCCGGGGUUCAGUUGACCAGCAUGAUAAGGUCAGAGAUCUGUUGAAAGCCAUUGAUGAACAGUUUACGGCCUCUGAGAAGUCGCUUGCUAGCACACUCAUUAUGCAAUUCUCUUCCAUUAAGCUUACUGGAACGAGAGGUGUGCGUGAACAUAUCAUGCACUUAAGGGACAUAGUGGCUCAGUUGAAAACCCUGGAAGUUACCAUGUCUGAAUCCUUCCUGGUACAUUUCAUUUUGUGCACCCUACCUCAACAGUAUACACCCUUCAAAAUCUCCUACAACACACAUAAGGAUAAAUUGUCUAUUAAUGAAUUGAUGACCAUGUGUGUUCAAGAAGAGGAGAGAUUGAUAAUGGAAGAGGGUGAGAAGGUAAAUUUGACUACUUCUACUUCUGGAAAGGAUAAGAAGAAGUCUGUAGGCACCAAUAAAGGAAAGAUUCCAACUCAACCAACAAUUAAAAAGGAGUCAAAGUGUUUCUUCUGUAAAAAGAAAGGACACAUGAAGAAGGACUGCCCCAAAUUUAAAAGUUGGUUUGAGAAGAAAGGUACACCAUUGACUUUCGUUUGUUAUGAAUCUAAUAUGAUUAAUGUGAAUCAUAAUACAUGGUGGAUUGACUCUGGUUCUACAAUCCAUGUUUCUAAUACCUUGCAGGGUAUGGAAAGCCUAAGGAAGCCAGUGGGAAGUGAGCAGUGCAUCUACUCAGGGAGUAGGAUGAUCUCGCAUGUAGAGGCCAUUGGAACGUGCGUCUUAGUUUUAAGUAGUGGCUUUAAAUUACAUUUGGAGAAAGUUUUUUAUGUUCCUAGUUUUUGUAAAAACUUAAUUUCUGUUUCUAAACUUGCACCUUUGGGAUUUUGUUUUAAUUUUACAGACUUUGGUUUUAAUUUACUAAAUAAAUCUGAAAUUAUUGGUUGUGGUCAAUUGGUUGAUGGUCUUUAUUCGAUUGAAUUGAAAAACGACGCUACUUCUAUGCACGUUUCUGUUGGGUUAAAACGAUGUAUUGUGAAUGAAGAAUCCUCUAUGUUGUGGCACCGGAGAUUAGGACAUAUCUCUAUUGAGAGAAUCAAGCGAUUAGUAAAUGAAGGAGUACUUAGUACUUUGGAUUUCGCUGAUUUUGAGACUUGUGUAGAUUGCAUUAAGGGUAAGCAAACUAACAAGUCUAAAAAGGGUGCAAAGAAGAGUUCUAAUUUAUUAGAAAUCAUACAUACAGACAUAUGUUGUCCAGACAUGGAUGGAAAUAGUCUGAAAUACUUCAUAACCUUUAUAGAUGAUUAUUCACGAUAUAUGUAUCUCUACUUACUUCAUUCUAAGAACGAAGCUUUAGAUGCCUUUAAAGUUUUUAAGGCUGAAGUUGAGAAACAAUGUGGAAAACAAAUUAAGAUCGUGAGAUCAGAUAGAGGUGGGGAGUACUAUGGUAGAUACACAGAGGAUGGACAAGCACCAGGUUCAUUUGCGAAAUUUCUUCAAGAACAUGAGAUUGUUGCCCAAUACACUAUGCCUGGUUCUCCGGAUCAGAAUGGCGUGGCAGAACGAAGAAAUCGAACCUUAUUAGACAUGGUGAGAAGCAUGAGGAGUAAUGUAAAGCUUCCUCAAUUUUUGUGGAUUGAUGCUCUUAAGACGGCUGCGUAUAUAUUAAACUGAGUUCCAACCAAGGUUGUCUCAAAGACACCUUUUGAGUUAUUCAAGGGUUGGAAACCAAGUUUGCGACAUAUACGCGUUUGGGGAUGCCCGUCUGAAGUAAGAAUUUAUAAUCCACAAGAGAAGAAACUAGACCCUAAGACUAUUACUAGGUAUUUCAUUGGAUAUGCUGAAAGGUCUAAAGGGUAUAGGUUCUAUUGUCUAUCCCACAACACUAGGAUUGUGGAAUCAAGGAAUGCAAAGUUUCUUGAAAAUGACUUGAUCAGUGGGAGUGAUCAAUUUAAGAACAUUUCUUCUAAAAGAGAUCACUAUGAAGCUGAACCUUCUGGGACAAGUAAUAGGUUAGUAGUCAUUCCCACCCCUCAAGUUAAAAUGGGUGUUAGACAACCAGUGAUUGAAGUUCCACAAGCUGUUGAAAGUGAUCAUGUAGAUCAAGUUGUUUGUGAGGAACAACAUGAUGAUAUUGAACAAACUGGUGAAGAACCAGUUGAACAAGUUCCUCAACAAGAUGACCAAACAACAUUAAGAAGAUCUACUAGAGUAAAAAAGAUAGCAAUUCCUAGUGAUUAUGUAGUGUACGUACAAGAAUCAGACUACAACAUUGGAGCCAAAAAUGAUCCUGAGACGUUUUCACAAGCCAUGAGUUCUAAGGAAUCAAAUUUGUGGUAUAAUGCUAUGAGGGAUGAGAUGGAUUCUAUGGCAUCUAACCAAGUUUGGGAUCUCGUUGAGUUGCCUGUUGGUGUAAAAGCCAUCGGAUGUAGAUGGGUCUUCAAAGCAAAGAAAGACUCAGAAGGCAACAUUGAGAGACAUAAGGCAAGACUUGUUGCUAAAGGAUUCACUCAAAGAGAAGGAAUCGAUUACAGAGAGACCUUUUCCCCUGUAUCUAAGAAAGACUCUCUUCGAGUAAUUUUGGCAUUAGUAGCUCAUUUUGAUCUUGAGUUGCAUCAAAUGGAUGUGAAAACGGCGUUCCUAAAUGGUGAUCUAGAAAAAGAGGUUUACAUGAAACAACCUGAGGGAUUCCUAUCUAGUGUUGGUGAGCACUUAGUUUGCAAGCUUAAUAAGUCCAUCUAUGGAUUGAAACAAGCUUCCCGCCAAUGGCAUUUAAAAUUUCAUGAGGUCAUUUCUUCAUUUAGCUUUGAAGAGAAUGUCAUGGAUCACUGUAUAUACCAGAAGGUCAGUGAGAGUAAGAUUUGUUUCCUUGUAUUAUACGUAGAUGAUAUUCUGCUUGCGACUAAUGAUAAGGGUAUGCUAUAUGAGGUGAAACAAUUUCUCUCAAAGAACUUUGAUAUGAAGGAUAUGGGAGAGGCAUCUUAUGUCAUAGGCAUAAAGAUCCAUAGAGAAAGAUCUCGAGGCAUUUUAGGCUUGUCUCAAGAAACCUAUAUCAACAAAGUUUUAGAGAGAUUUAAUAUGAAAUAUUGUUCACCAAGUGUAGCUCCCAUUGUGAAGGGUGACAAACUUGCUUUGAGUCAAUGCCCCAAAAAUGAUUUUGAGCGGGAACACAUGAAAAAUAUUCCAUAUGCUUCAGCAGUUGGAAGCCUUAUGUAUGCUCAGGUUUGCACUAGACCUGAUAUUGCAUUCGCUGUUGGAGUCUUGGGAAGAUAUCAAAGUAAUCCAGGUAUUGACCACUGGAAAGAUGCAAAGAAAGUGAUGAGAUAUCUUCAAGGAACAAAGGAUUACAUGCUCAUGUACAGACAAACUGAUUGUCUGGAAGUGAUUGACUACUCCGACUCAGACUUUGCUGGUUGCGUUGAUUCACGAAGAUCAACAUCUGGAUAUAUUUUUAUGUUAGCCAGUGGAGCUGUAUCUUGGAGAAGUGCCAAACAAACCUUGACUGCUACUUCCACUAUGGAGGCUGAGUUUGUUUCUUGUUUUGAGGCUACCUCGCAUGGAGAUGAUAUUCUGCUUGCGACUAAUGAUAAGGGUAUGCUAUAUGAGGUGAAACAAUUUCUCUCAAAGAACUUUGAUAUGAAGGAUAUGGGAGAGGCAUCUUAUGUCAUAGGCAUAAAGAUCCAUAGAGAAAGAUCUCGAGGCAUUUUAGGCUUGUCUCAAGAAACCUAUAUCAACAAAGUUUUAGAGAGAUUUAAUAUGAAAUAUUGUUCACCAAGUGUAGCUCCCAUUGUGAAGGGUGACAAACUUGCUUUGAGUCAAUGCCCCAAAAAUGAUUUUGAGCGGGAACACAUGAAAAAUAUUCCAUAUGCUUCAGCAGUUGGAAGCCUUAUGUAUGCUCAGGUUUGCACUAGACCUGAUAUUGCAUUCGCUGUUGGAGUCUUGGGAAGAUAUCAAAGUAAUCCAGGUAUUGACCACUGGAAAGCUGCAAAGAAAGUGAUGAGAUAUCUUCAAGGAACAAAGGAUUACAUGCUCAUGUACAGACAAACUGAUUGUCUGGAAGUGAUUGACUACUCCGACUCAGACUUUGCUGGUUGCGUUGAUUCACGAAGAUCAACAUCUGGAUAUAUUUUUAUGUUAGCCAGUGGAGCUGUAUCUUGGAGAAGUGCCAAACAAACCUUGACUGCUACUUCCACUAUGGAGGCUGAGUUCGUUUCUUGUUUUGAGGCUACCUCGCAUGGUGUAUGGUUGAAGAGUUUCAUAUCUGACCUUAGAGUUGUGGACUCUAUUUCUAGGCCAUUAAAGUUGUAUUGUGACAACUUUGCUGCGGUGUUUAUGGCUAAAAAUAACAAAAGUGGAAGUCGAAGUAAGCACAUCGACAUUAAGUACUUAGUCAUAAGAGAACGUGUUAAAGAAAAGAAAGUGGUCAUUGAACACGUUAACACUGAGUUGAUGAUUGCUGAUCCUUUAACUAAAGACAUGCCACCAAAGAAUUUUAAGGAUCAUGUUGUACGAAUGAGACUUGGUUCCAUGAUGUAAUUUCAUUGUACAUACAUUUGUUAUUUUCAAUGAAACUCUUAUUCAGUUAGAUAUUUUCUCAUAUGGUUUUGUGCACAUAUUUAUUUAUUUCGAGAAAAAUCAUUCGGUUUAGAUAUAGAAUAAACAUAUGGUUUAUUCAUUAAGUUGAGAGCUAGUGUUGAGAGACUUGAUAUAUUGUGGUACAUGGAAGAUACUACUCAUUAUCAGAGGACCUAUCGCCAUGACUCAUAUAUUAUGUUUCUUGUUAUGGUUGAUGUUGAGUUAAAUGGACCAAGUGGGAGAAUGUUGGAAGCCCAUGUUGCAUUCACGUUCCAUGUUCUUUUAUAUUUUAUUAUUUUGGAAAAUUUAGUUAUUUCUGAAUCUGGUCCAUUUUCCAUCCACAUUCAAUCCAUAUCUUUGCAAAUAUAUUUGCAACCACCUUCAGUAACAAAUCACGUACCCAUCAUUUAUCUCACGUACUGAUAACUUCCUAUCUCUUGUUCUGAUAACAAGUUGAGCUCUGUGAUGGACAAACUCUAUAAAUAGGAUGGGGUGCUCUCAGUUUUGUAUCACCAAACUCACUUCUCUAUCCAAAAAAAAUACAUCAUCUAUUCAGAGUGAGUAAGGGUCUGGAAGAACAAAACUGUCUUUCAGGUUCGUGUGUGCACCGCUUCCCGUUCAAUUUGCAAUGGCUGGAGGUACGCUCGUAAUAUUUUUAAUUUCCGCUGUUUAAUCUAAAUAUGUCAUUUAAAUUGAUUUGCAUGUUUAGAUUAGUAUAUGUAUAUUUUUAUAUGGACAUCAUUUAUUAGCAAAGCAAAUUGUUUAAAUGAGGUUAAUUCUUUUUACGGUAACAUUUUCAAUCUUUUGUUUGAGUCUCUAUGAUAGACCAUGAAC
Molecule: long non-coding RNA, 6947 nt
Filed under: Glycine max (soybean)
Lineage: Eukaryota; Viridiplantae; Streptophyta; Magnoliopsida; Fabales; Fabaceae
Description: long non-coding RNA (GMAX_LNC003535)
Source: RNAcentral